GAGGAAGGCAGAACAAAGGAAAUAAGAAG
RNAcentral lists this non-coding RNA (29 nucleotides) under Homo sapiens (human). Lineage: Eukaryota; Metazoa; Chordata; Mammalia; Primates; Hominidae. The record is from RNAcentral.